This 253-nucleotide ribosomal RNA is filed under the name uncultured bacterium. Its description in RNAcentral is "partial 16S ribosomal RNA". It matches the Rfam family "Bacterial small subunit ribosomal RNA", at positions 524 to 776 of the family's 1533-position model. The record is from RNAcentral.
UACGUAGGGUGCGAGCGUUAAUCGGAAUUACUGGGCGUAAAGCGUGCGCAGGCGGUUAUGUAAGACAGGUGUGAAAUCCCCGGGCUUAACCUGGGAACUGCAUUUGUGACUGCAUAGCUAGAGUGCGGUAGAGGGGGAUGGAAUUCCGCGUGUAGCAGUGAAAUGCGUAGAUAUGCGGAGGAACACCGAUGGCGAAGGCAAUCCCCUGGACCUGUACUGACGCUCAUGCACGAAAGCGUGGGGAGCAAACAGG